GGGAUCGUAGCUCAGGUGGUAGAGCACUUGACUUUUAAUCAAGUUGUCGAGGGUUCGAGUCCCUCCGGUCUCA
This 73-nucleotide transfer RNA is filed under the name Lachnospiraceae bacterium. Its description in RNAcentral is "tRNA-Lys". It matches the Rfam family "tRNA". From Rfam's summary of the family: Transfer RNA (tRNA) molecules are approximately 80 nucleotides in length. Their secondary structure includes four short double-helical elements and three loops (D, anti-codon, and T loops). The record is from RNAcentral. Lineage: Bacteria; Bacillati; Bacillota; Clostridia; Lachnospirales; Lachnospiraceae.